UACGGAGGAUGCGAGCGUUAUCCGGAUUUAUUGGGUUUAAAGGGUGCGCAGGCGGCACGGCAAGCCGGCGGUCAAAUCGCGGGGCUCAACCCCGCCCAGCCGUCGGAACUGCCGGGCUAGAGUGGGCGAGAAGUGCGCGGAAUGCGCGGUGUAGCGGUGAAAUGCAUAGAUAUCACGCAGAACUCCGAUUGCGAAGGCAGCGCACCGGCGCCCUACUGACGCUCAGGCACGAAAGCGUGGGUAUCGAACAGG
RNAcentral lists this ribosomal RNA (252 nucleotides) under uncultured bacterium. Its description in RNAcentral is "partial 16S ribosomal RNA". It matches the Rfam family "Bacterial small subunit ribosomal RNA", at positions 524 to 776 of the family's 1533-position model. The record is from RNAcentral.